Paramuricea clavata is the source of this 155-nucleotide non-coding RNA. The record is from the annotation of a GenBank genome assembly. NCBI's taxonomy places the organism in Eukaryota, Metazoa, Cnidaria, Anthozoa, Malacalcyonacea, Plexauridae.
UAUCAGACUUGUUACAAAGUUGUUCUGACAAGUCUGAUGCAAUCAUGAUAUAACAAGAAUGUUACAAGGUUGUAACAAUUUUGUUAUAACCUUAUAUUGAACUUAUAUCAUGACUUUAUCGGACUUGUUGGAACAACCUUGCAACAAAUCUGAUA